UACGUAGGGGGCAAGCGUUGUCCGGAUUUAUUGGGCGUAAAGAGCGUGUAGGCGGCCAGAUAGGUCGGUUGUGAAAACUGGAGGCUUAACCUCCAGACGUCGACCGAAACCAUUCGGCUAGAGUCCGGAAGAGGAGAGUGGAAUUCCUGGUGUAGCGGUGAAAUGCGCAGAUAUCAGGAAGAACACCCGUGGCGAAAGCGGCUCUCUGGGACGGUACUGACGCUGAGACGCGAAAGCGUGGGGAGCGAACAGG
This 253-nucleotide ribosomal RNA is filed under the name uncultured bacterium. RNAcentral's name for it is "partial 16S ribosomal RNA". It matches the Rfam family "Bacterial small subunit ribosomal RNA", at positions 524 to 776 of the family's 1533-position model. The record is from RNAcentral.